This 266-nucleotide ribosomal RNA is filed under the name uncultured bacterium. RNAcentral describes it as "partial 16S ribosomal RNA". It matches the Rfam family "Bacterial small subunit ribosomal RNA", at positions 793 to 1055 of the family's 1533-position model. The record is from RNAcentral.
GUCCACGCCGUAAACGAUGGAUGCUAGCCGUCAGCAAGCAUGCUUGUUGGUGGCGCAGCUAACGCAUUAAGCAUCCCGCCUGGGGAGUACGGCCGCAAGGUUAAAACUCAAAGGAAUUGACGGGGGCCCGCACAAGCGGUGGAGCAUGUGGUUUAAUUCGACGCAACGCGAAGAACCUUACCAACCCCUUGACAUGUCCGGUCGGUUUUCCAGAGAUGGAUUCCUCCCAGCAAUGGGCCGGAACACAGGUGCUGCAUGGCUGUCGU